This 576-nucleotide ribosomal RNA is filed under the name Gyalidea fritzei. RNAcentral describes it as "LSU rRNA". It matches the Rfam family "Eukaryotic large subunit ribosomal RNA", at positions 78 to 650 of the family's 3401-position model. The record is from RNAcentral. Lineage: Eukaryota; Fungi; Ascomycota; Lecanoromycetes; Ostropales; Graphidaceae.
CCUUAGUAACGGCGAGUGAAGCGGCAAAAGCUCAGAUUUGAAAUCUCUUUUUUUUAAUGAAGAAGCGAAUUGUAAUCUGUAGAAGGUUGAAUGGCUGAACUAUCUGAUUUAAGUUCCAUGGAAUCGGACAUCAUAGAGGGUGAGAAUCCCGUGAUCAAUCAGAAACUAAGCUACUAAAUUCACCUUUCGACGAGUCGAGUUGUUUGGGAAUGCAGCUCUAAUUGGGUGGUAAAUUUCAUCUAAAGCUAAAUACCUGCCAGAGACCGAUAGCGAACAAGUAGAGUGAUCGAAAGAUGAAAAGCACUUUGAAAAGAGAGUUAAAUAGUACGUGAAAUUGUUGAAAGGGAAGCGCUUGCGAUUAGACUUGAUGAUUAAAUUCCCAGCUUGCUCAUGAGCCGAGUUGUUACUUUUUAUUUUAUCAGGCCAGCAUCAGUUUGGAGAGGUUUAAAAAUGAUUUGGAAACGUAGUUUUUACUUCGGUAAAAAUGUUAUAGUCCUUUUUAUCAUAAACUUACCCCAGACUGAGGACCGCCAAUUUUUAAUUGAUGGAUGCUGGCAUAAUGAUCGUAAGCGACCU